Lingula anatina is the source of this 3098-nucleotide long non-coding RNA. The record is from RefSeq and is a predicted model, not a curated record. NCBI's taxonomy places the organism in Eukaryota, Metazoa, Brachiopoda, Lingulata, Lingulida, Lingulidae.
CAGGGACACAUGUUGCAGGGGUAGUGUAGUGUUCUCUCUCAGCAACCAGAGUAGGCUGGGGAAAAUUAGGACUUAAACCUUCUCAUUCCUUGCUCAGUUUAGCAUUGCUCACACUUUGCCCUGGAGACUUUACUUACAAGGAUAUCAUUCUACACUUGAGGGGAGUUUAAGAAGGCCAUACAAGUUCCGACAUCACCACUGCUAAAUGGGAGUUGUGUUCUUACGGGAUUUUUUAUCUUGAAUUACACUUGGACUCUUAAUACAUGCUGAGUGCUGUUGAAGUCCCAUUUGUGAGUACACACUGCUGCUACUAUUACUACAACUACUUCAGGAAUUUGAAAAUCAGAGAGGAUAUUUUUUACUCAGGCUGUGUUCACACUGCACACUGUGUUGGAACAGAGAGAAAAGUAUCUCCAAAACCACGGAACCACGCGCCAGAAGUUGACUCCUUGCUGCGUGUAGAAAAAGAAACAAACUGUACCUCAUUUCAUUGACGUUGUUGGAAUUGGAUAUUAUUUCUCAGUGACUGAACAUAACUUGUUGACUUGCAACCAACAACAGCAGAUUUUUUUGUAUUGUGGUAUGAAGGUCGUGCGAUAAGUGUCACCUUUCUAUCUUCACUGAGAGGGCAGACAGCAGGAAUCCUUUCACUACUGAAUUACUUCAUUUUGAUCAUAAUUUUUCUUAAAGAUCAACUCUGGAUCUAUAUAGACAGUUUUAUGAAACACUGUAACAAAACUUGCCCUUAAAAUAUCUGAAGUUCUAAGCUCUUUCAUUGGAAGAACUACAGCUAGUAACAGUUUGCAUCAAAACUGACAUGAAAGCCAUCUAGACAGUAUUAGAUCUGCUAGAAUUUAAUCAAGUUCCCAUCAUCAUACACCUGUCUGCACCUAUUACCCCGAAUCCCCAGGAUUCCUUCACACAAAAAGUGUAUAUGUCACAUGGAAUAACACCACAACUUGACCCUCUGACCUGUGGGGUUGUUCUUUAAAACAAAAAUCACAGCAAAACCAAUUCUGUAUAUUACAGGGAAUUGUACACCCUGAGUUACAAGAGGGUAUCUUCACAAAGGAGUGUGGAUGUCAUGUACAAUAACAUAAUACCUGACCUCUGAUCUGCGGGGUUGUCUUUAAAAACAAGAUAUACAGGGAAGGACUCUGCAUGCGAUAUUGUAAUAUAAUGAGUGACUAAGACAUAGGGCAUUGUUUUAGAAGUAAAAGGCAUUUCAGGACACACAUAAAUGGAAUGAGAAAAGUGCACUGGACAUAAUUUAUAACUGACCAUUAGAAGUACUCUGACACAGUAUAUAACUGACCACUAAGAGUACUCUGGCACAGUAUAUAACUGACCACAAGAGGUACUACUGGGCACAGUGAUUCAGUGACCAAAUAAAAUACUAUGAAGCACAGUCAAUGAAGGCAGAACUAUAGGGCCAUUACUCAGGCAUAUUGUUGGUGACACGGUUUUUAUACACCAAGGACAAUUUCUACAUGAAAUGAUCCAGUGAAAUUGCCCAUGAAAUCACUGCAAGGACAAAAAGAAGACAACAUGUAGGGGAACUUUAUGUCUGACUGCAUUCACUGUUUUCUAGUCAUGCAAUUCGCCUAGUUAUCUGAUCUUUGCUGCCGGAGUUAUACAGGAUUUGUACAUACUAUCACAUGUACUAACCACUCUGAAAACAACUACAAAAAUAUUUCCAUCGCCAGAAUCAUCUUCCAAGUUCAUGACUGCAUGCCAUGGAGCAAUUCAAUGGAUAUACUUAACAAUACCGACUACGAAACAGAGUGACUACGGAACUUUUUCCACAGGACUGGAUUUUACGAGCACAUGCAACCCUGUAAUUUAUAAUCAUAAUAACACAGCUGAAUAGGAAUACAACAGGUCAAUAUAUAAACAGGUGCUGGACCCAACACAGGGGAUUAAGUCAUCUCAGAUGCAAGGUUUCCCCCUGUAAGAGGACAAUAGGAACAGGUGAAAGGGACGACUUUUAAUUCUGCACCAUUGUGAAUGAAUGGCCUAAGUCAAAUAGAAAGGAGACAGAUAUUCCGUUUGUGUGUGUGUGGGUUUGUGUGUGUGGAAUUUCCAUUGAGCAAAACUUACUGGGCCAGUCAGUAAAAGAAGGCAGCCUUAUUAUUGAAGGAGAGGGAUUAACAUUGAGGAACCGAGGACAGGCAUUUUACGACUACAACCACUGGCACGCAAUAUUACUGGAUAAUUAGGCUGAGAGAUCUAGGACACAGAGGGAAAAGAUAUUCCUCCAUUUUUCUGCUGUGGAGUUUUCAGUUGGGCUCACCUGGAAGUACAGGGCACCAAGUCAGCAUCGUUACCCACUUCCUAACCUGGCUCUAUUCCGAUUGUGGUCAGACAAAGCCUCGGUGUGUGUGCCGGGUGAAGUUUUCACUAGAACACGGAGCAAGCGUUUACUCACUCAGCCGACCAACAGUGCGAGACUUCCUGUCGUCUUAUUUACUCAGGAGUGAUUAAUCCAAACACAUGGGUCAGGAAGGGAAAUGUACACUCAACAGGUGAUUUAUACCGCCUUUUAAUUUCCUAAUAUGUUGUCUGUAUGACACAGAUAAUAUGUAUAUGAUAUCGAAAUAGAAGUGGACAUCAUCUGUGGAUUAAACUAAGAUUCUUAUUAACUGACUAACAGGUAUGAUAUAAACCAAUGGACCUUGUUUCUGGAUUAUAAUUGGAUCAGGAGCCAGUUCAUAAUAUUGACGCAGGUGAAGGUGGUGAGAGACAGGUAACUGAAACCAGUUCCACAUUUCAAGCUGUACAACCAAGGAGAAGACCUCUGACCAGCAUCUUGUCUAUCUCAGAAUUUGAAUUUUGAACUGUGUAUUUUCAUAUAUUGGACCCAGUGCAUUAUUGGAAUUCAUACCCAAGACAUCAGAUUAUCAUCUUGUUCAUCUUAGAAUUUGAGUUCCUAACUGUUUAUUUUCACAUACUGGACCAGUGCAUCAUCUUCCUACGCACAUACACUUCUACUGUACACAACUUCACCUGUCUGAACAUCUUCAAGAGGAUCACUACCUGUUCAGUGUGUAUCUCUGUGUGGAUUAAUAAGGGAUUAUCCUGAGUGGAUUAAUGAUAAU